This 329-nucleotide unclassified non-coding RNA is filed under the name soil metagenome. Its description in RNAcentral is "partial contains 5.8S ribosomal RNA, internal transcribed spacer 2, and large subunit ribosomal RNA". The stretch from base 1 to 120 matches the Rfam family "5.8S ribosomal RNA", at positions 35 to 154 of the family's 154-position model. The record is from RNAcentral.
GAUGAAGAACGUAGCGAAAUGCGAUAAGUAAUGUGAAUUGCAGAAUUCAGUGAAUCAUCGAAUCUUUGAACGCACAUUGCGCCCCCUGGUAUUCCGGGGGGCAUGCCUGUCCGAGCGUCAUUACAACCCUCAAGCUCAGCUUGGUAUUGGGCCCCGCCGCUCCGGCGGGCCCUAAAGUCAGUGGCGGUGCCGUCCGGCUCCGAGCGUAGUAAUUCUUCUCGCUCUGGAGGUCCGGUCGUGUGCUCGCCAGCAACCCCCAAUUUUUUUCAGGUUGACCUCGUAUCAGGUAGGGAUACCCGCUGAACUUAAGCAUAUCAAUAAGCGGAGGA